CAAAGGCUUCGGCCGGUAAAGGAUGGGGAUGCGUCUGAUUAGCUUGCCGGCGGGGUAACGGCCCACCGGGGCGACGAUCAGUAGGGGUUCUGAGAGGAAGGUCCCCCACAUUGGAACUGAGACACGGUCCAAACUCCUACGGGAGGCAGCAGUGAGGAAUAUUGGUCAAUGGGCGCGAGCCUGAACCAGCCAAGUAGCGUGCAGGACGACGGCCCUAUGGGUUGUAAACUGCUUUUAUACGGGGAUAAAGUAUGCCACGUGUGGUUUAUUGCAGGUACCGUAUGAAUAAGGACCGGCUAAUUCCGUGCCAGCAGCCGCGGUAAUACGGAAGGUCCGGGCGUUAUCCGGAUUUAUUGGGUUUGAAGGGAGCGUAGGCCGGGUUUUAAGCGUGCCGUGAAAUGUCGGGGCUCAACCUUGACACUGCGGCGCGAACUGGAGUCCUUGAGUGCGCGGAACGUAUGCGGAAUUCGUGGUGUAGCGGUGAAAUGCUUAGAUAUCACGAAGAACCCCGAUUGCGAAGGCAGCAUACGGCAGCGCUACUGACGCUGAAGCUCGAAGGCGCGGGUAUCGAACAGGAUUAGAUACCCUGGUAGUCCGCGCGGUAAACGAUGGAUGCCCGCUGUUGGCGAUAUAUUGUCA
RNAcentral lists this ribosomal RNA (639 nucleotides) under uncultured bacterium. RNAcentral describes it as "bacterial SSU rRNA". It matches the Rfam family "Bacterial small subunit ribosomal RNA", at positions 202 to 842 of the family's 1533-position model. The record is from RNAcentral.